This 556-nucleotide long non-coding RNA is filed under the name Brassica napus (rape). Its description in RNAcentral is "long non-coding RNA (BNAP_LNC025295)". Lineage: Eukaryota; Viridiplantae; Streptophyta; Magnoliopsida; Brassicales; Brassicaceae. The record is from RNAcentral.
UCUCGGACAGUAUAUGCCUUUAGGAUCUUUGCUCUCUUGCCCGUUUGUUCCCUAAGCCUUCCUCAUGCCUUGCAUCACAAGUCUUCAUCAGCUGAGUGUACAGAUUAGGGUUGCUUCUCUCACAUUGCGCCCUAUCUUUGCACAACUCCAAAACAUCCCAAGACUUGAUAGAAACUCUUUUGGAUCGACCAUGUCCUUACCGGGCCGUACCAUCCGUACAGCCGGCCGUACAUGGCCGUCUCUAUCUUUGCACCAUCAACCUUUCUCUCCUAAACUCAUCCAAAGGCUACUCCACUUCUAUAUGAACUCUUCUUAGCCAUUGUCCCAACCUUGUAUCAGCUUCUCAUCACUUUCUGAAGCUUCAUAGAACUCUUCUUAAGAUCUUCAAGAGCUUGCCCUAUUUAUGCACAAGCUCCAUUCUUCUCUUCAGUUCAACAGGUUUUCCCCUCUCCUUCUCUAAUCUGAAACACUAAUCUUUAGUCUCUUAUUCUCUCAGUCUCUUAAAUCUCUUAAUCUCUCUGUUCUUAAGCCUCUCAUACACUCAUAUACACUCUCA